UACGUAGGGCGCAAGCGUUGUCCGGAAUUAUUGGGCGUAAAGAGCUCGUAGGCGGUUUGUCGCGUCUGCUGUGAAAGCCCGGGGCUCAACCCCGGGUCUGCAGUGGGUACGGGCAGACUAGAGUGCAGUAGGGGAGACUGGAAUUCCUGGUGUAGGCGGUGAAAUGCGCAGAUAUCAAGGAGGAACACCGAUGGCGAAGGCAGGUCUCCCGGGCUGUUACUGACGCUGAGGAGCGAAAGCAUGGGGAGCGAACAGGAAUUGAGAUACCCCUGGUAGUCC
This 279-nucleotide ribosomal RNA is filed under the name uncultured bacterium. RNAcentral's name for it is "partial 16S ribosomal RNA". It matches the Rfam family "Bacterial small subunit ribosomal RNA", at positions 524 to 796 of the family's 1533-position model. The record is from RNAcentral.